RNAcentral lists this ribosomal RNA (468 nucleotides) under uncultured bacterium. Its description in RNAcentral is "bacterial SSU rRNA". It matches the Rfam family "Bacterial small subunit ribosomal RNA", at positions 415 to 884 of the family's 1533-position model. The record is from RNAcentral.
UCUAUGGUUUGUAAACUUCUUUUAUAGGGGAAUAAAGUGGAGGACGUGUCCUUUUUUGUAUGUACCCUAUGAAUAAGCAUCGGCUAACUCCGUGCCAGCAGCCGCGGUAAUACGGAGGAUGCGAGCGUUAUCCGGAUUUAUUGGGUUUAAAGGGUGCGUAGGUGGUGAUUUAAGUCAGCGGUGAAAGUUUGUGGCUCAACCAUAAAAUUGCCGUUGAAACUGGGUUACUUGAGUGUGUUUGAGGUAGGCGGAAUGCGUGGUGUAGCGGUGAAAUGCAUAGAUAUCACGCAGAACUCCGAUUGCGAAGGCAGCUUACUAAACCAUAACUGACACUGAAGCACGAAAGCGUGGGGAUCAAACAGGAUUAGAUACCCUGGUAGUCCACGCAGUAAACGAUGAUUACUAGGAGUUUGCGAUACAAUGUAAGCUCUACAGCGAAAGCGUUAAGUAAUCCACCUGGGGAGUACG